AUUGUCAGGAUUUUAUUAACAACGGAGAAAAUUGACACUGGAUCUUAGAUUGACCAAUCUGAGUGGUGCAGUUGAUACAACAGAAGGAAGGGGUGCCAACCAAAGGGACCUGAACAGGCUUGAAAAGCAGAUGCAGAUAUUGCAAACAAAUAUUGGGAGUUCUACAGUUCAAUGGUGAGCUACUGAAUGUGCUGUCAGUGUAACUACAGAGAUAUUUAUGGACUGCUGACUGCAGGAGAAGGACAGUGACAACAUUACCAUAGGAGUUGUUUUGAUGUGCAACUGGAGAUCUGAGACUGAAAUUACUACUUCAGUUAUGGACUGAUCUGUGCAAUUCAUUAUAGUCUGAUAACAGUGAGAAUUCAACCAGAUGCUA
Numida meleagris (helmeted guineafowl) is the source of this 376-nucleotide long non-coding RNA. RefSeq lists it as uncharacterized. The transcript is spliced from 4 exons. Lineage: Eukaryota; Metazoa; Chordata; Aves; Galliformes; Numididae. The record is from RefSeq and is a predicted model, not a curated record.